RNAcentral lists this transfer RNA (71 nucleotides) under Schistosoma japonicum. RNAcentral describes it as "tRNA-Leu". The record is from RNAcentral. Lineage: Eukaryota; Metazoa; Platyhelminthes; Trematoda; Strigeidida; Schistosomatidae.
GACUCCAUAGUCUAGCGGUAAGGCGUCUUCCGAGGAGCCAGAAGGUCUUGGUUCGAUUUCUGGUUGAAUCG